RNAcentral lists this ribosomal RNA (478 nucleotides) under Gonaxis sp. 'Nguru'. RNAcentral's name for it is "partial 16S ribosomal RNA". Lineage: Eukaryota; Metazoa; Mollusca; Gastropoda; Stylommatophora; Streptaxidae. The record is from RNAcentral.
AGUUUUAUGGUUGUUUUAAACUUCUUCUAAGACUAAGUAAAACUUAAAAUAUAUAUAAAAUAAAUUCUGCCCAAUGAUAAAAAUUUAAAUGGCCGCAGUACACUGACUGUGCAAAGGUAGCAUAAUAAAUUGUCUUUUAAUUAAAGACUAGAAUAAAUGAAAUUUUGGGGGGGGCCUGUCUCUAGAUGGUUUAUUUUAAUUUAUUAAUUAGGUGAAAAUCCCUAAGAAUAAAAACAAAAGACGAGAAGACCCUAAGAACUUUAAUAAAAAAGAAAAAAUUUUCUCUAGUUUUUGUUGGGGUGACAAAUUAACAAGGCCUAACCUAUUUUAAUAACACAAACCGAGAAAAGUUAUUUUAGAGUAAGUUACCUUAGGGAUAACAGCAUAAUUUUUCUUUAAGAUUGUGACCUCGAUGUUGGACUAGGGAAAUAAUAGUUAGUUACUAAGACAAAUGGUUCUGUUCGAACCCUCUACCCCU